RNAcentral lists this ribosomal RNA (215 nucleotides) under uncultured bacterium. RNAcentral's name for it is "partial 16S ribosomal RNA". It matches the Rfam family "Bacterial small subunit ribosomal RNA", at positions 524 to 745 of the family's 1533-position model. The record is from RNAcentral.
UACGUAGGGGCAAGCGUUGUCCGGAAUCAUGGGCGUAAAGCGCGUGUAGGCGGACUGGAAGGUCUGGUGUGAAGCCCGGGCUCAACCCGGAGGUCACUGGAAACCGACAGUCUGAGUCCGGAAGAGGAGAGUGGAAUUCCGUGGUGUAGGCGGUGGAAUGCGCAGAUAUCAGGAGGAACACGAUGGCGAAGGCAGGUCUCUGGCCGCAACUGACG